Molecule: ribosomal RNA, 267 nt
Filed under: Duganella qianjiadongensis
Lineage: Bacteria; Pseudomonadati; Pseudomonadota; Betaproteobacteria; Burkholderiales; Oxalobacteraceae
Description: partial 16S ribosomal RNA
Rfam family: Bacterial small subunit ribosomal RNA
Source: RNAcentral
GUCCAGACUCCUACGGGAGGCAGCAGUGGGGAAUUUUGGACAAUGGGGGCAACCCUGAUCCAGCAAUGCCGCGUGAGUGAAGAAGGCCUUCGGGUUGUAAAGCUCUUUUGUCAGGGAAGAAACGGUGAAGGCUAAUAUCCUUUGCUAAUGACGGUACCUGAAGAAUAAGCACCGGCUAACUACGUGCCAGCAGCCGCGGUAAUACGUAGGGUGCAAGCGUUAAUCGGAAUUACUGGGCGUAAAGCGUGCGCAGGCGGUUUUGUAAGA